RNAcentral lists this ribosomal RNA (451 nucleotides) under Aerococcus urinae. Its description in RNAcentral is "bacterial SSU rRNA". It matches the Rfam family "Bacterial small subunit ribosomal RNA", at positions 198 to 637 of the family's 1533-position model. The record is from RNAcentral. Lineage: Bacteria; Bacillati; Bacillota; Bacilli; Lactobacillales; Aerococcaceae.
UUUGGAAAGACGGCUUUGCUGUCACUUAUCGAUGGCCUUGCGGUGCAUUAGCUCGUUGGUGGGGUAACGGCCUACCAAGGCAAUGAUGCAUAGCCGACCUGAGAGGGUAAUCGGCCACAUUGGGACUGAGACACGGCCCAAACUCCUACGGGAGGCAGCAGUAGGGAAUCUUCCGCAAUGGGCGCAAGCCUGACGGAGCAACGCCGCGUGAGUGAAGAAGGUUUUCGGAUCGUAAAGCUCUGUUGUAAGAGAAGAACAAAUUGGAGAGUAACUGCUCCAGUCUUGACGGUAUCUUACCAGAAAGCCACGGCUAACUACGUGCCAGCAGCCGCGGUAAUACGUAGGUGGCAAGCGUUGUCCGGAUUUAUUGGGCGUAAAGGGGGCGCAGGCGGUUUCUUAAGUCUGAUGUGAAAGCCCACGGCUUAACCGUGGAAGUGCAUUGGAAACUGGG